Molecule: ribosomal RNA, 232 nt
Filed under: uncultured Bacillus sp.
Lineage: Bacteria; Bacillati; Bacillota; Bacilli; Caryophanales; Bacillaceae
Description: partial 16S ribosomal RNA
Rfam family: Bacterial small subunit ribosomal RNA
Source: RNAcentral
AGUAACACGUGGGCAACCUGCCUAUGAGACUGGGAUAACUCCGGGAAACCGGGGCUAAUACCGGAUAAUUCUUUUCUACACAUGUAGAAAAGCUGAAAGAUGGUUUCGGCUAUCACUCAUAGAUGGGCCCGCGGCGCAUUAGCUAGUUGGUGAGGUAACGGCUCACCAAGGCGACGAUGCGUAGCCGACCUGAGAGGGUGAUCGGCCACACUGGGACUGAGACACGGCCCAG